UAGGGAAUCUUCCGCAAUGGGCGAAAGCCUGACGGAGCAACGCCGCGUGAGUGAUGAAGGUCUUCGGAUCGUAAAACUCUGUUAUUAGGGAAGAACAAAUGUGUAAGUAACUAUGCACGUCUUGACGGUACUUAAUCAGAAAGCCACGGCUAACUACGUGCCAGCAGCCGCGGUAAUACGUAGGUGGCAAGCGUUAUCCGGAAUUAUUGGGCGUAAAGCGCGCGUAGGCGGUUUUUUAAGUCUGAUGUGAAAGCCCACGGCUCAACCGUGGAGGGUCAUUGGAAACUGUAAAACUUGAGUGCAGAAGAGGAAAGUGGAAUUCCAUGUGUAGCGGUGAAAUGCGCAGAGAUAUGGAGGAACACCAGUGGCGAAGGCGACUUUCUGGUCUGUAACUGACGCUGAUGUGCGAAAGCGUGGGGAUCAAACAGG
RNAcentral lists this ribosomal RNA (429 nucleotides) under Actinomycetes bacterium. RNAcentral describes it as "Actinobacteria bacterium partial 16S ribosomal RNA". It matches the Rfam family "Bacterial small subunit ribosomal RNA", at positions 355 to 776 of the family's 1533-position model. Lineage: Bacteria; Bacillati; Actinomycetota; Actinomycetes. The record is from RNAcentral.